Non-coding RNA from Sorangium cellulosum, 138 nucleotides. The record is from Rfam. NCBI's taxonomy places the organism in Bacteria, Pseudomonadati, Myxococcota, Polyangiales, Polyangiaceae.
CAUAGGGUGAAAGUCCCGAAGCGGCAGAAGGUCGAAGCCGCGUAGCUUGGGUGGCGCCCGGCGGGGAGAUCCCCCGGGUGAAGCCCACCGACAAAGCCCCGCAUGGCGGGGUGAGCGAGCGCGCGGGCCGCAACGAGG